Molecule: unclassified non-coding RNA, 413 nt
Filed under: soil metagenome
Description: partial contains 5.8S ribosomal RNA, internal transcribed spacer 2, and large subunit ribosomal RNA
Rfam family: 5.8S ribosomal RNA (bases 1-121)
Source: RNAcentral
GAUGAAGAACGUAGCGAAAUGCGAUACGUAGUGUGAAUUGCAGAAUUCCGUGAAUCAUCGAAUCUUUGAACGCAUAUUGCGCCCACGGCCUCGGCCCAAGGGCAUGCCUGUCUCAGCGUCCGCUCACCCCCUCGCCCUCCCCCUUUCGAUUCGAAAGGGCGGUUUGGACGGAUGUGGCCGUCUCGCUCUCUCUUUUUGAAAGAGCGGUCGGCUGAAGCGCAGGGCUCGCGGCGGGACCCCAUUCGAUCGGGGCGCCAGCAUGGUAGGUGGCUCAACGCUCACAUAUCGGCUGUCGUCUCCCACAUCACCGGGCGCUCCGCCUGCUGCCACAGCAGGAAAACCCCAAUCAAAACCUUGGACCUGAGAUCAGACAAGACCACCCGCUGAACUUAAGCAUAUCAAUAAGCGGAGGA